This 504-nucleotide ribosomal RNA is filed under the name uncultured Glomeromycotina. Its description in RNAcentral is "SSU rRNA". It matches the Rfam family "Eukaryotic small subunit ribosomal RNA", at positions 569 to 1077 of the family's 1831-position model. Lineage: Eukaryota; Fungi; Glomeromycota. The record is from RNAcentral.
AGCAGCCGCGGUAAUUCCAGCUCCAAUAGCGUAUAUUAAAGUUGUUGCAGUUAAAAAGCUCGUAGUUGAAUUUCAGGCCUGGCUGGACGGUCCGCCCUUCGGGUGAGUACUGUCUGUGGUCGGGUCCUACCUUCUGGCGAAGCGUCAUGGCCUUAACCGGCCGUGGCGGGGAACCAGGACUUUUACUGUGAAAAAAUUAGAGUGUUCAAAGCAGGCAAUCGCUUGGGUACAUUAGCAUGGAAUAAUGGAAUAGGACAAUGGUUCUAUUUGUUGGUUUCUAGGACCGUUGUAAUGAUUAAUAGGGAUAGUUGGGGGCAUUAGUAUUCAAUUGUCAGAGGUGAAAUUCUUGGAUUUAUUGAAGACUAACUACUGCGAAAGCAUUUGCCAAGGAUGUUUUCAUUAAUCAAGAACGAAAGUUAGGGGAUCGAAGACGAUCAGAUACCGUCGUAGUCUUAACCAUAAACUAUGCCGACUAGGAAUCGGGCGAUGUUGAAAAAAUGACGC